Molecule: ribosomal RNA, 497 nt
Filed under: uncultured bacterium
Lineage: Bacteria
Description: partial 16S ribosomal RNA
Rfam family: Bacterial small subunit ribosomal RNA
Source: RNAcentral
GAUGAACGCUGGCGGCGUGCCUAAUACAUGCAAGUCGAGCGAACGGACGAGAAGCUUGCUUCUCUGAUGUUAGCGGCGGACGGGUGAGUAACACGUGGAUAACCUACCUAUAAGACUGGGAUAACUUCGGGAAACCGGAGCUAAUACCGGAUGAUAUUUUGAACCGCAUGGUUCAAAAGUGAAAGACGGUCUUGCUGUCACUUAUAGAUGGAUCCGCGCUGCAUUAGCUAGUUGGUAAGGUAACGGCUUACCAAGGCAACGAUGCAUAGCCGACCUGAGAGGGUGAUCGGGCACGCUGGAACUGAGACACGGUCCAGGCGCCUACGAGAGGCAGCAGUAGGGAAUCUUCCGCAAUGGGCGAAGGCCUGACGGAGCAACGCCGCGUGAGUGAUGAAGGUCGUCGGAUCGUAAAACUCUGUUAUUAGGGAAGAACAUAUGUGUAAGUAACUGUGCACAUCUUGACGGUACCUAAUCAGAAAGCCACGGCUAACUACGUG